UACGGGGGGGGCAAGCGUUGUUCGGAAUUACUGGGCGUAAAGGGCUCGUAGGUGGCCAACUAAGUCAGACGUGAAAUCCCUCAGCUUAACCGGGGAACUGCGUCUGAUACUGGAUGGCUAGAGUUUGGGAGAGGGAUGCGGAAUUCCAGGUGUAGCGGUGAAAUGCGUAGAUAUCUGGAGGAACACCGGUGGCGAAGGCGGCAUCCUGGACCAACACUGACGCUGAGGAGCGAAAGCCAGGGGAGCAAACGGG
Molecule: ribosomal RNA, 253 nt
Filed under: uncultured bacterium
Lineage: Bacteria
Description: partial 16S ribosomal RNA
Rfam family: Bacterial small subunit ribosomal RNA
Source: RNAcentral